RNAcentral lists this ribosomal RNA (200 nucleotides) under Lactobacillus sp. HBUAS51381. RNAcentral's name for it is "partial 16S ribosomal RNA". It matches the Rfam family "Bacterial small subunit ribosomal RNA", at positions 7 to 185 of the family's 1533-position model. The record is from RNAcentral. Lineage: Bacteria; Bacillati; Bacillota; Bacilli; Lactobacillales; Lactobacillaceae.
GAGAGUUUGAUCCUGGCUCAGGACGAACGCUGGCGGCAUGCCUAAUACAUGCAAGUCGAACGAGCUUCCGUUGAAUGACGUGCUUGCACUGAUUUCAACAUUGAAGCGAGUGGCGAACUGGUGAGUAACACGUGGGUAACUUGCCCAGAAGCAGGGGAUAACACUUGGAAACAGGUGCUAAUACCGUAUAACAACAAAAA